CACAGACGGCGCGCCCCGGCGGUGGUGCUGAAGCUCGACUUCGCCAAAGCUUUUGACUCCAUCAACUGGGCAAGUUUGAGGACUAUCAUGGAGGUGCGGGGGUUCCCACCGCUCUGGUGCGCAUGGAUGGACUCCCUCUUCCACUCAUCGCGCUCGGCCGUCCUCCUCAACGGCGUGCCGGGGAGGUGGUUCCAGGUUGGCUGCGGCCUGCGGCAGGGGGAUCCGGUCUCCCCCUACCUCUUCAUCAUCGUCGCCGACGUCCUCCAAUGCCUCAUCCGCCAUGACGAUGUGCUUCGCCACCCCCUACUGCCGGACGCCCCGGCGGUGGUGCUUCAGUACGUCGACGACACCCUGAUUAUCAUGCGGGUGUGCGGGCGGGGGGCGGCGCGCCUCAAGCUACUUCUGGACCAGUUCGCAGAGGCCACCGGGCUAGUGAUUAACUUUGCCAAAAGCACCCUCGUCCUGAUGCACGCCGACGCCGACAUUGUGGAGCAGGUGGUGGCUGCCCUGGGAUGCGCCGCCGGCGUGUUCCCGCAGUCAUGCCUGGGGCUCCCUCUUUCAUGGGAAAAACUGCGCUUCGCCGACUUCUUGCCCAUGAUCGCGAAGGUGGACGUGUACCUUGCCAGAUGGGCUGCUCGCCUUCUCUCGCCCGCCCGGGCGGCUCGUCCUCAUAAACGCCGUCCUCGACGCCCUGCCUACCUAUGCCAUGGCAGCGCUGCUCCUGCCGCCUGCCGUCAUUCGUGCUCUAGAUGGACUCCGUCGCUCGUUCCUCUGGAACAUCGCUGA
RNAcentral lists this ribosomal RNA (786 nucleotides) under Triticum aestivum (bread wheat). RNAcentral's name for it is "partial small subunit ribosomal RNA". Lineage: Eukaryota; Viridiplantae; Streptophyta; Magnoliopsida; Poales; Poaceae. The record is from RNAcentral.